AAAAGACUAGUCUCAGUCCCACUGUGCCCUCUCCAAUAGCACUGAGUUUGUUUCCAUGCUAUGUGUGAACAGGACUGAGAACUUGCCCCAGGCUACCAGCCUCCCAGCUGAGAAAGCAAGCAGGGCUUUCAUGCCUCCCUGCCUGUCGAGUCUGCACACGGGUUUCACGCCCUCCCCUGUGUUCUGGCCAGGAGACUUUGCGUUCGGUUGGAAUUGUUACAGAGUUCAGCUGGAGGUUUCCUUCUCCCUGUGGCCUUUUCCCAGUUCCUCUGGCAGCCCUCCUCAAGGACCCCUGUGAGAUAAGUCAGAGGUGACUUUCCUGGGGACCCAGAGAACCCACAAGGCUUUUCCCACUGCUUACUGUAUUUUGCUCGGCUCUCUAAAUUGAAUCAAUUGCAGAGCAGGACCCAGGAUGCAAGACCCUAGGCAUCCCCAAGGCCUUCCACUGUCCCCAGGCCUUCCAAAGAGACAGCGGCAGGACCGCACAAUCUACAACUGGAAACAGCAGGAAGUGCUAGAAAAUCACUUUAAGGAGGAACAGUACCCAGACUAUGACACACGACAAGAGCUGGCGGAGAUGCUCAAUCUCAGGGAGUACCAAGUGCAGGUGUGGUUCAAGAAUCGCCGGGCCAAACGCUCUCGGGAGCGGUGGUUCCAGAAGCAGCUCCAGCAGCUCCAGAAGCAUCCUCAGCAGCAGCAUCCUCAGCAGCAGCAUCCCCAGCAGCAGCUCCAGCAGCAGCAGCCCCAGCAGCAGCCCCAGCAGCAGCAGCCCCAGC
This is a long non-coding RNA of Homo sapiens (human), 776 nucleotides long. Ensembl annotates it as tetrapeptide repeat homeobox like (pseudogene). Its record names the gene TPRXL. The record is from Ensembl. Lineage: Eukaryota; Metazoa; Chordata; Mammalia; Primates; Hominidae.